RNAcentral lists this transfer-messenger RNA (354 nucleotides) under Planctomycetes bacterium GWF2_42_9. It matches the Rfam family "transfer-messenger RNA". From Rfam's summary of the family: Bacterial tmRNA, also known as 10Sa RNA or SsrA, is named for its dual tRNA and mRNA-like properties. Its role is to liberate the mRNA from a stalled ribosome. The record is from RNAcentral. Lineage: Bacteria; Pseudomonadati; Planctomycetota. RNAcentral also lists the same sequence under 1 other name.
GGGGGCGAAAGGCUUCGACCGGAUGGGUAGAGAGAUAGGUUGCAUGUCCAGGACGUCGGUUGGCCUGGCUAAUCAUCCGACACAAAUUUAAUUGGCAACUACCAAUUAAGAAUGGCUGCCUAAAUAGGCACCCGUCCACCGGGAUCGCUCCUGCCGAUCUCGCUUGGGCGUCAACUUGCGGGAUCGCUUUGAAGGGCCGUUUGUCCUGACGAAGUUAAAAACUUACAAACUGGCUGAACUGAAAGCCUGUUGAUCGGCGUGCGGUAAGGCGACAUUUGAAAUGACCAACUAAACAUGUAGAUGCCUGUCUUGAAACAUUUCGGGACGCGGGUUCGAAUCCCGCCGCCUCCAAUU